RNAcentral lists this ribosomal RNA (463 nucleotides) under Vreelandella stevensii. Its description in RNAcentral is "partial 16S ribosomal RNA". It matches the Rfam family "Bacterial small subunit ribosomal RNA", at positions 338 to 795 of the family's 1533-position model. Lineage: Bacteria; Pseudomonadati; Pseudomonadota; Gammaproteobacteria; Oceanospirillales; Halomonadaceae. The record is from RNAcentral.
CCUACGGGAGGCUGCAGUGGGGAAUAUUGGACAAUGGGGGCAACCCUGAUCCAGCCAUGCCGCGUGUGUGAAGAAGGCCCUCGGGUUGUAAAGCACUUUCAGUGAGGAAGAACGCCUGGUGGUUAAUACCCAUCAGGAAAGACAUCACUCACAGAAGAAGCACCGGCUAACUCCGUGCCAGCAGCCGCGGUAAUACGGAGGGUGCGAGCGUUAAUCGGAAUUACUGGGCGUAAAGCGCGCGUAGGUGGCUUGAUAAGCCGGUUGUGAAAGCCCCGGGCUCAACCUGGGAACGGCAUCCGGAACUGUCACGCUAGGGUGCAGGAGAGGAAGGUAGAUUUCCGGGUUUGGGGGUAAAUGCGUAGAGAUCGGGAGGAAUACCAGUGGCGAAGGCGGCCUUCUGGACUGACACUGACACUGAGGUGCGAAAGCGUGGGUAGCAAACAGGAUUAGAUACCCUGUAGUC